RNAcentral lists this long non-coding RNA (1391 nucleotides) under Penaeus merguiensis. RNAcentral's name for it is "partial lncVP08". The record is from RNAcentral. Lineage: Eukaryota; Metazoa; Arthropoda; Malacostraca; Decapoda; Penaeidae.
UUUUUUUUUUUUUAGUAACCAAGCGAAGCAAGGAACUGAACUAGUUGUUUCGUCACUAUUUUUCAUUCCCGUUAUUAUAAAGCAGUAGGUAUGGAUUUCAAGCAACAGUGCAACGAGCCACGUUAUUUGAAUGCACGAGACCUGCCAUAGUAUCGCCGACAUUGCAAGAUAAUGGGCUAGCCUGGCUAACAUAAAGCACUGAUAAAUCCGAUGGGAAGAGUCAGACAACUUAGAAGACAGGCAACGCCCAAGAGGACCAAGUAAAAGUGAAUUUGAUAGAAAACCGUUUACCGAAUUUGUGAUGAGGGAACAGCUACACCUGCAAAUACAAGUUGGGACAAUCGGACUAUUAACUACACAGAAAAGGCUUUAAAAAAAUAAAAUGCAUCAGCAACUAAGGGUCUAUUAAAAUCUUGAGAGGAAGCAGCGUGUGAUAGGUUACAAAAGAUUUUGAUUUUAUUCACAUUUAACUAUAUAUGGAGCCCUCCACUGCUGAUAUCGAAAUGAUCCCUUGUAUGAGUGCUAAAACAUGACAUUGAGGGGCUGCUUGAUCUCAGAAUUUAGGUCAUGCUAACCGUCCAGAAUCUUUAUUUUGUAUAGGAUAACUGCCCUGUCUGCAAGUCGAUGUGGUAAUCCUGUAGUCGCAUCCAGUUCGAGCUCUUGCCUUGGCCCGACUUAAAUGCCGUUGAGAAUGGGUGGGGCCAAAUGUUAACAACUGCAAGCCUUUUCUAGCAUACCAACGACAAGUGGGAGCUCUAGAAUUGAAGCCAGCAAACUUGUUCCAAAAUGAAUUCGAGGAGGCUGGGCACAAUAAUUGAAGCAGUUUGCUGGACCCUAUACUAGCCCAUGUGAUUUCCAUUAACAGUUUUUUGUUAGUCUGCUUUUGUUUUACUUGCUUACUGCAAGACCAUAACAUAAAUAUUUUUUGAUGUUUGAGUGAAAUAUAAUUUCUCCUUUUCAUAGAUUAUGAAAGACGUUAUGGUGUCGAUGUGCACAUGGCCAAGUGAGAAAGUUUCUACUGGGCUCUAUGGCAGUUAUGCCUUUACCAAGUAAAGUUAAUGUCAGAAGUGGCUAGGUAUGCAUUUAUCAGACUCGUGUAAUGCAAUUCACAGAGCAUGCUCAGACUGUAUUGUGAAUGUUUACUCUGGACUCGAGCAUGUCAAUAGUCUGAUAUCGAGGUUGGGAAACCACAAACAAUAGAUAAGGUUAGAGGAACUUGCACAAAAUUUGUAGAUUCAAAUGGCCUCUGCACAUUCUUCUACUCGUAGGGAUAUUACAGAAAUAGAACAGAAAUGUCUCCGUGACAUUCAACAGUGACGACAGUAAAAUUCAAGCUAGUUAUCCCAUACUACCAUUUAUAGUUUUUACAAAGUACAAAGAGUAAAGCAACA